AACUCCGACCGGAGACGGAAGGAGUGCUUUUAUUAGAUCAAAACCAAUCGGUGGCGGGUUCGCUCGUCAUCGUACAACUUGGUGACUCUGAAUAACUUUAUGCUGAUCGCACGGUCUCGCACCGGCGACGCAUCUUUCAAAUGUCUGCCUUAUCAACUGUCGAUGGUAGGUUCUGCGCCUACCAUGGUUGUAACGGGUAACGGGGAAUCAGGGUUCGAUUCCGGAGAGGGAGCCUGAGAAACGGCUACCACAUCCAAGGAAGGCAGCAGGCGCGCAAAUUACCCACUCCCGGCACGGGGAGGUAGUGACGAAAAAUAACGAUACGGGACUCAUCCGAGGCCCCGUAAUCGGAAUGAGUACACUCUAAACCCUUUAACGAGGAUCAAUUGGAGGGCAAGUCUGGUGCCAGCAGCCGCGGUAAUUCCAGCUCCAAUAGCGUAUAUUAAAGUUGUUGCGGUUAAAAAGCUCGUAGUCGAAUCUGUGUCUUGCGCCGCCGGUUCAUCGUUCGCGGUGUUAACUGGCGUGUCGCAGGACGUCCUGCCGGUGGGCUUAGCCCGCAAGGGCGGCCCAACUCAAUCCUGCCGCGGUGCUCUUCACUGAGUGUCGAGGUGGGCCGGCACGUUUACUUUGAACAAAUUAGAGUGCUUAAAGCAGGCUAAAACUUCGCCUGAAUACUGUGUGCAUGGAAUAAUGGAAUAGGACCUCGGUUCUAUUUUGUUGGUUUUCGGAACCCCGAGGUAAUGAUUAAUAGGAACGGAUGGGGGCAUUCGUAUUGCGACGUUAGAGGUGAAAUUCUUGGAUCGUCGCAAGACGGACAGAAGCGAAAGCAUUUGCCAAAAACGCUUUCAUUGAUCAAGAACGAAAGUUAGAGGUUCGAAGGCGAUCAGAUACCGCCCUAGUUCUAACCAUAAACGAUGCCAGCUAGCGAUCCGUCGACGUUCCUCCGAUGACUCGACGGGCAGCUUCCGGGAAACCAAAGCUUUUGGGUUCCGGGGGAAGUAUGGUUGCAAAGCUGAAACUUAAAGGAAUUGACGGAAGGGCACCACCAGGAGUGGAGCCUGCGGCUUAAUUUGACUCAACACGGGAAACCUCACCAGGCCCGGACACCGGAAGGAUUGACAGAUUGAGAGCUCUUUCUUGAUUCGGUGGGUGGUGGUGCAUGGCCGUUCUUAGUUGGUGGAGCGAUUUGUCUGGUUAAUUCCGAUAACGAACGAGACUCUAGCCUGCUAACUAGGCGUAUUUUGACAUCGCAAAGGCCCGCCGGUAUCGGGGUUCGCUCCUUUAUCGUGCGCGGUUUUUACUGUCGGCGUACAAACAAUUCUUCUUAGAGGGACAGGCGGCUUCUAGCCGCACGAGAUUGAGCAAUAACAGGUCUGUGAUGCCCUUAGAUGUUCUGGGCCGCACGCGCGCUACACUGAAGGAAUCAGCGUGUCCUCCCUGGCCGAGUGGCCC
This 1452-nucleotide ribosomal RNA is filed under the name Deporaus septemtrionalis. Its description in RNAcentral is "SSU rRNA". It matches the Rfam family "Eukaryotic small subunit ribosomal RNA", at positions 174 to 1543 of the family's 1831-position model. The record is from RNAcentral. Lineage: Eukaryota; Metazoa; Arthropoda; Insecta; Coleoptera; Attelabidae.